CCAAGGAGUCUGGCAGGCAAACAAGUAUUUGAGUGCAAAACCCAAAUGCAAAGCGAAAGCAAAAAAAUUGCAGCAAUGCAAAUAAUUGAGCGUUCCUUUUUUUGCAAAAGGAUAGGCAGAAGUUUGUCUGCCGGGACCCGAAAGAUGGUGAACUAUGCCUGAGUAGAGUGAAGUCAGGGGAAACCCUGAUGGAGGCUCGAAGCGUUGCUGACGUGCAAAUCGCUCGUCAAACUUGGGCAUAGGGGCGAAAGACUAAUCGAACCAUCUAGUAGCUGGUUCCCUGCGAAGUUUCCCCCAGGAUAGCAAAGGCAACGCAGUUUGAUUUGGUAAAGAUAAUGAUUAGAGGAACUCGGGAUUUUAUAUUCUGGGCCUAUUCUCAAACUUUGAACGAGUCAUAGGGGUGGUUUCUUCACUGAACCACCCCAUAAAUGCUAGCCUUUAGUGGGCUGUUUUUGGUAAGCAGAAACGGCGAUGCGGGUUAAACCGGACGCCAGGUUAAGGUGCCUAAAGAUUGCUAAAAUAGAUUUGAAAGGCGUUAGUUCAUUAUGACAGCUGGACGGUGGUCACGGAGGUUGAAAUCCGCUAAGAAGUGUGUCACAACUUACCAGUCGAAUGAACUAGCCCUUAAAAUGGAUGGCGCUAAAGCAGUCUACCGAAACCUGGCCAUUUUGGUAUAUUCUGCCAAAAUGAGUAGCAGGGCAUGGGGUUUGUGUAGAAGCGUAGAUGUGAAUUUGCGUGAAACACUCCCCAGUGCAGAUCUUGGUGAUAGUAGCAAAUACUUGAAUGAUAAAUUCGAGGGCUGAAGUGGAGAAAGGUUCCAUGAGAACAGUAUUUGGUCAUGGGUUAGUCGAUCCUAAGACUACACGUAAAAAAUUCCAAAAUGGUCUAAACCCAGUGUAGUCGAAAGGGAAUCGGGCUAAUAUUCCCGAACCAAAACCCCUAAUUGGCAACAGUUCUUCUUCAAAGACGUUUGUAGCUGCAGCGAGAAGAGUCUUCUCUUCUUUUUAACAGGUGGUUUUCCUUGCAAACAGAUUGUCUGGAGGAAAGGAAAACUGUCUGGAAUAGCAUUGAAUUUUUAUCAAUGUUCGCAAAGCAGUUAUAAACACAUAAAAAUUUGAAGAAAUUGGGGUUUUGAUCGUACUCAUAACCGCAUCAGGUCUCCAAGGUGAACAGCCUCUAGCCAAUGGAAUAAUGCAGGUAAGGGAAGUCGGCAAAUUUGAUCCGUAACUUCGGGAAAUGGACUGGCUCUUGGGACUGGGUGAUGGCGAAGCCUCGUUUGUAUCCCCCUAGAUUGAAAUGAUUCUUUGAAUCAGAUCAUUUUGGUGAGGACGCAUUCUUUGUUUAGCCGCACAUGUAUCAGUCUGCCAAGAACUGAAACGGACAAGGGGAAUCCGACUGUGUAAUUACAACAAAGCAUUGCGACGGUCAUAACUGAUGUUGACGCAAUGUGAUUUCUGCCCAGUGCUCUGAAUGUUAACGAAAUGAAAAUUUCUGAAGCGCGGGUUAACGGCGGGAGUAACUAUGACUCUCUUAAGGUAGCCAAAUGCCUUGUCAUUUUAUUGGUGACGCGCAUGAAUGGAACAACGAGAUUCCCACUGUCCCUACCUGCGAUCCAGCGAAACCACAGCCAAGGGAAC
RNAcentral lists this ribosomal RNA (1637 nucleotides) under Acetes chinensis (northern mauxia shrimp). RNAcentral's name for it is "eukaryotic LSU rRNA". It matches the Rfam family "Eukaryotic large subunit ribosomal RNA", at positions 666 to 2380 of the family's 3401-position model. The record is from RNAcentral. Lineage: Eukaryota; Metazoa; Arthropoda; Malacostraca; Decapoda; Sergestidae.